AAGCCCCGCCGACUGCCCUUUGGUCUAAGUUAAAUUUUUUGAUGAUUUUUUGGGGGGUUUUCCGGCGCGAUCCUAGCGUCGCGCUACGCUCGGACAGGUUAUCCCUUCCCUCCCGCUAGAUUGAUGAGAUCAGGCAUC
RNAcentral lists this long non-coding RNA (138 nucleotides) under Mus pahari (shrew mouse). RNAcentral describes it as "sRNA (MGP_PahariEiJ_G0008357.1)". It matches the Rfam family "Deleted in lymphocytic leukemia 2 conserved region 6". The record is from RNAcentral. Lineage: Eukaryota; Metazoa; Chordata; Mammalia; Rodentia; Muridae.